RNAcentral lists this ribosomal RNA (496 nucleotides) under uncultured bacterium. Its description in RNAcentral is "partial 16S ribosomal RNA". It matches the Rfam family "Bacterial small subunit ribosomal RNA", at positions 29 to 507 of the family's 1533-position model. The record is from RNAcentral.
AUGAACGCUGGCGGCGUGCCUAAUACACGCAAGUCGAGCGAACGGACGAGAAGCUUGCUUCUCUGAUGUUAGCGGCGGACGGGUGAGUAACACGUGGAUAACCUACCUAUAAGACUGGGAUAACUUCGGGAAACCGGAGCUAAUACCGGAUGAUAUUUUGAACCGCAUGGUUCAAAAGUGAAAGACGGUCUUGCUGUCACUUAUAGAUGGAUCCGCGCUGCAUUAGCUAGUUGGUAAGGUAACGGCUUACCAAGGCAACGAUGCAUAGCCGACCUGAGAGGGUGAUCGGCCACACUGGAACUGAGACACGGUCCAGACUCCUACGGGAGGCAGCAGUAGGGAAUCUUCCGCAAUGGGCGAAAGCCUGACGGAGCAACGCCGCGUGAGUGAUGAAGGUCUUCGGAUCGUAAAACUCUGUUAUUAGGGAAGAACAUAUGUGUAAGUAACUGUGCACAUCUUGACGGUACCUAAUCAGAAAGCCACGGCUAACUACGUG